ACCAGAGUACUAUGAAUGAUAUAGAAUUUAAAACUCAAAGAACUUGGCGGUGUUUUAGACCAUUUAGGGGAACCUGUCUCGUAAUCGACAGUCCACGUUACACCUGACCUUUUUUUGUUUCCAGUUUGUAUACCGUUGUCGUCAGGUAACUUUUUAGAAAGUAGAAGUUGGCUAUAUAAAUAUAAUGGUUUAGUACGUCAAAUCAAGGUGCAGCUAAUAAAAGGGGGAGGAUGGGUUACAAUUAUAGAAUCAUAAUGACGGAUAUUUAUAUGAAAGUGUAAAUUAUGAAGGCGGACUUAAAAGUAAAUUGGAUUAUGCAAACAAGUUUGAAUGCGGCUCUGAAACGUGU
This 349-nucleotide ribosomal RNA is filed under the name Oxymeris chlorata. RNAcentral describes it as "partial 12S ribosomal RNA". Lineage: Eukaryota; Metazoa; Mollusca; Gastropoda; Neogastropoda; Terebridae. The record is from RNAcentral.